CAGAGCGCGGUGUCCGCGGGGCCGCCGCCGGCGCCGCGCAGGGUCGGAGGCAACCGCCUGCCCCGACCCUCCUCCGCCCGCUUCGGCCUUAUAUUUAAUACAUGCCCUUUCAUCUAUUAUUCAGGCUGCUCUGACUCCAGCUCUGUCUCGCCUCCCAUUUACGCCUGCACACCUUUCUCCUUCCCCUUCCCGAAGGGUCAGCCGAGACACUCGCCGAGGGAGGGAGAGAGCUGCUCUGCUGGUUUGGGUCUUGUCUGCUUAAACAUUGAACUGGAAAAGAUUCCUCCUCUCUGUGGUUUGAUAAAUAAUAAAAGUGAUCGUUUCGCCUUCCCCAUAAAUGACACAGAUGGAGGGGCACUGUGAGACUGACUGCUCCCUGUGCAGAGCUCAAGAGGCAGCAUACACAACAGAGGGUUUCUCCUUCUUGCUCUGUUCAACUCCUGCACCAGUCUGGACUGGGGAAUUCUGUGCUCAGUUCCUACCUUUUGGAUCAUAACUCUGUCUUCUUUAUUUCACCAUUAAAAUGACUAUAAUGUAUCCGCCUUGUGGCUUAUCUGACCUGGCGUUCUCCUUCUAGUGUCCCCUGUGGACACUUAAAAAGAACCAUUAUGAAAUAAGAUUAUCACUAUGGAAAAUUUUACUCCUGGUCUCAUUUAGUUAGCGUUGAUAUAACUUUUGAUAAACUCGAACAAAAUAGAGUCUUGCAUCAUCUUUUUCAUAUUGUAUGCAGUUCCAGUGUUCCUAAGGUGCUCCCAAACUCAGAAUCAUAGUACAAUAUUAUAUCUCCUUUAGUCUAUAUGUUCAAGGUCUUGAUAAAGUCUUUUCUUUCUGUCUGUUGUCAAUGCAUUAGGCCAUAUACUGUGGGUAGCUUUUUGCAAACAUAGUUGGGUUCACCAGAGUUUAAAAAUAAAUUCUUAGAUGACUUGGCCGGGGAAAGAUUU
RNAcentral lists this long non-coding RNA (941 nucleotides) under Manacus vitellinus (golden-collared manakin). RNAcentral describes it as "lncRNA (ENSMVIG00005005826.1)". The record is from RNAcentral. Lineage: Eukaryota; Metazoa; Chordata; Aves; Passeriformes; Pipridae.